GACGAACGCUGGCGGCGUGCUUAACACAUGCAAGUCGAACGGAAAGGCCCUGCUUUUGUGGGGUGCUCGAGUGGCGAACGGGUGAGUAACACGUGAGUAACCUGCCCUUGACUUUGGGAUAACUUCAGGAAACUGGGGCUAAUACCGGAUAGGAGCUCCUGCUGCAUGGUGGGGGUUGGAAAGUUUCGGCGGUUGGGGAUGGACUCGCGGCUUAUCAGCUUGUUGGUGGGGUAGUGGCUUACCAAGGCUUUGACGGGUAGCCGGCCUGAGAGGGUGACCGGCCACAUUGGGACUGAGAUACGGCCCAGACUCCUACGGGAGGCAGCAGUGGGGAAUAUUGCACAAUGGGCGGAAGCCUGAUGCAGCAACGCCGCGUGCGGGAUGACGGCCUUCGGGUUGUAAACCGCUUUCGCCUGUGACGAAGCGUGAGUGACGGUAAUGGGUAAAGAAGCACCGGCUAACUACGUGCCAGCAGCCGCGGUGAUACGUAGGGUGCGAGCGUUGUCCGGAUUUAUUGGGCGUAAAGGGCUCGUAGGUGGUUGAUCGCGUCGGAAGUGUAAUCUUGGGGCUUAACCCUGAGCGUGCUUUCGAUACGGGUUGACUUGAGGAAGGUAGGGGAGAAUGGAAUUCCUGGUGGAGCGGUGGAAUGCGCAGAUAUCAGGAGGAACACCAGUGGCGAAGGCGGUUCUCUGGGCCUUUCCUGACGCUGAGGAGCGAAAGCGUGGGGAGCGAACAGGCCUAGAUACCCUGGUAGUCCACGCUGUAAACGGUGGGUACUAGGUGUGGGGUCCAUUCCACGGGUUCCGUGCCGUAGCUAACGCUUUAAGUACCCCGCCUGGGGAGUACGGCCGCAAGGCUAAAACUCAAAGGAAUUGACGGGGCCCCGCACAAGCGGCGGAGCAUGCGGAUUAAUUCGAUGCAACGCGUAGAACCUUACCUGGGUUUGACAUGGAUCGGGAGUGCUCAGAGAUGGGUGUGCCUCUUUUGGGGUCGGUUCACAGGUGGUGCAUGGCUGUCGUCAGCUCGUGUCGUGGGAUGUUGGGUUAAGUCCCGCAACGAGCGCAACCCUUGUUCACUGUUGCCAGCACGUUAUGGUGGGGACUCAGUGGAGACCGCCGGGGUCAACCCGGAGGAAGGUGGGGAUGACGUCAAGUCAUCAUGCCCCUUAUGUCCAGGGCUUCACGCAUGCUACAAUGGCUGGUACAGAGAGUGGCGAGCCUGUGAGGGUGAGCGAAUCUCGGAAAGCCGGUCUCAGUUCGGAUUGGGGUCUGCAACUCGACCUCAUGAAGUCGGAGUCGCUAGUAAUCGCAGAUCAGCAACGCUGCGGUGAAUACGUUCCCGGGGCU
RNAcentral lists this ribosomal RNA (1346 nucleotides) under uncultured bacterium. RNAcentral describes it as "partial 16S ribosomal RNA". It matches the Rfam family "Bacterial small subunit ribosomal RNA", at positions 28 to 1381 of the family's 1533-position model. The record is from RNAcentral.